GACGGAGGAUGCAAGCGUUAUCCGGAAUGAUUGGGCGUAAAGCGUCCGCAGGCGGCAGUUCAAGUCUGCUGUCAAGGACCGGGGCUUAACUUCGGAAAGGCAGUGGAAACUGAACAGCUAGAGUAUGGUAGGGGCAGAGGGAAUUCCUGGUGUAGCGGUGAAAUGCGCAGAUAUCAGGAAGAACACCAAUGGCGAAAGCAGCUUUCUGGGACGGUACUGACGCUGAGACGCGAAAGCGUGGGGAGCGAACAGG
RNAcentral lists this ribosomal RNA (253 nucleotides) under uncultured bacterium. RNAcentral's name for it is "partial 16S ribosomal RNA". It matches the Rfam family "Bacterial small subunit ribosomal RNA", at positions 524 to 776 of the family's 1533-position model. The record is from RNAcentral.